Transfer RNA from Sistotremastrum suecicum HHB10207 ss-3, 99 nucleotides. It matches the Rfam family "tRNA". Rfam says of the family: Transfer RNA (tRNA) molecules are approximately 80 nucleotides in length. Their secondary structure includes four short double-helical elements and three loops (D, anti-codon, and T loops). Further hydrogen bonds mediate the characteristic L-shaped molecular structure. tRNAs have two regions of fundamental functional importance: the anti-codon, which is responsible for specific mRNA codon recognition, and the 3' end, to which the tRNAs corresponding amino acid is attached (by aminoacyl-tRNA synthetases). tRNAs cope with the degeneracy of the genetic code in two manners: having more than one tRNA (with a specific anti-codon) for a particular amino acid; and 'wobble' base-pairing, i.e. permitting non-standard base-pairing at the 3rd anti-codon position. NCBI's taxonomy places the organism in Eukaryota, Fungi, Basidiomycota, Agaricomycetes, Sistotremastrales, Sistotremastraceae. The record is from Rfam.
GCCCGCCUAGCUCAAUCGGAUAGAGCGUCAGACUCUUAGGAGUUAUCCGGAUUCCGAUUCGGCAUCUGAAGGCUGCGAGUUCGACCCUCGCGGUGGGCU